Small nucleolar RNA from Dipodomys ordii (Ord's kangaroo rat), 67 nucleotides. Ensembl annotates it as predicted gene, 24016. The record is from Ensembl. Lineage: Eukaryota; Metazoa; Chordata; Mammalia; Rodentia; Heteromyidae.
UGGCGAUGAGGAGACGCCUACCGUACUGAUCUACGGUGAUGGUUCUAUACGCUAUUCUGAGCCGGCC